AAGAGCUGGAGUUACAUUGCGCAGGUCUGAGUGUUGAUGGCUUCAGAUACCUAAUACAGCCAGUGGAGCAGGCAGAUUAGACCAGAGCUCCAAACUAACAACCAUCAUGUGUGACCAAAACAACCAAGAUGGUUCCUGUAAAGACAACAAUCAACAGGAAGACCCUGCUUCCAGACCUGAGCAGCAGUUACCCAUGAGAGACAUCUACUGCAUUCUGCAUGAAGAAUAUAAUCCAAGCAUGUCAUCCGCAUCAGAUUUUCUUCUUGCCAUGAUAGAAUCCCUCACUGACUACAUCUUGACACUGAUGAGAUGCCUGGGCCCAGGAAGAACGGCUGAAAAUUGACUCACAGAGCACAGUGGGAAGCCUCAGAGGCUUAGCCAGAGCCACAGUGUCUCCGUGAAAAAGAGGCCCCACUGUUGUCAUCAACAAUGAUAAUGAAGGCUUCAAGUGCAUGGC
This 457-nucleotide long non-coding RNA is filed under the name Fukomys damarensis (Damara mole-rat). RNAcentral's name for it is "lncRNA (ENSFDAG00000027373.1)". Lineage: Eukaryota; Metazoa; Chordata; Mammalia; Rodentia; Bathyergidae. The record is from RNAcentral.